AGAACGAACGCUGGCGGCAAGCUUAACACAUGCAAGUCGAACGGAUUUUUGUCGUAGCUUGCUAUGAUAAAAAUUAGUGGCAGACGGGUGAGUAAUGCAUAGGAAUCUACCUAGUAGUAUGGGAUAGCCACUAGAAAUGGUGGGUAAUACUGUAUAAUCCCUGCGGGGGAAAGAUUUAUCGCUAUUAGAUGAGCCUAUGUUAGAUUAGCUAGUUGGUAGGGUAAAGGCCUACCAAGGCAGUGAUCUAUAGCUGGUCUGAGAGGAUGAUCAGCCACACUGGAACUGAGAUACGGUCCAGACUCCUACGGGAGGCAGCAGUGGGGAAUAUUGGACAAUGGGCGCAAGCCUGAUCCAGCUAUGCCGCGUGAGUGAGGAAGGCCUUAGGGUUGUAAAACUCUUUCAAUAGGGAAGAUAAUG
Molecule: ribosomal RNA, 417 nt
Filed under: Anaplasma platys
Lineage: Bacteria; Pseudomonadati; Pseudomonadota; Alphaproteobacteria; Rickettsiales; Anaplasmataceae
Description: bacterial SSU rRNA
Rfam family: Bacterial small subunit ribosomal RNA
Source: RNAcentral